CGGCGUGCCUAAUACAUGCAAGUCGAACGGCUUUUCUAUGGAAGCUUGCUUCCACUGAGAAGAUAGUGGCGAACGGGUGAGUAACACGUGGGUAACCUGCCCAUAAGAGGGGGGAUAACAUCCGGAAACGGGUGCUAAUACCGCAUAGUUUUCUUGAUUGCAUGAUUGAGAAAGGAAAGACGGCCUUUGUGCUGUCGCUUAUGGAUGGACCCGCGGCGUAUUAGUUAGUUGGUGAGGUAACGGCUCACCAAGACGAUGAUACGUAGCCGACCUGAGAGGGUGAUCGGCCACAUUGGGACUGAGACACGGCCCAAACUCCUACGGGAGGCAGCAGUAGGGAAUCUUCCGCAAUGGACGAAAGUCUGACGGAGCAACGCCGCGUGAGUGAAGAAAAGGUUUUCGGAUCGUAAAACUCUGUUGUCAGAGAAGAACAAGUUGGAGAGUAACUGCUCCAGCCUUGACGGUAUCUGACCAGAAAGCCACGGCUAACUACGUGCCAGCCGCAGC
This 507-nucleotide ribosomal RNA is filed under the name uncultured bacterium. Its description in RNAcentral is "bacterial SSU rRNA". It matches the Rfam family "Bacterial small subunit ribosomal RNA", at positions 40 to 518 of the family's 1533-position model. The record is from RNAcentral.